UACAGAGGUCUCAAGCGUUGUUCGGAUUCAUUGGGCGUAAAGGGUGCGUAGGCGGCUUGUCGCGUCGGCUGUGAAAACCUGGGGCUCAACCCCGGGCCUGCAGCCGAUACGGGCAAGCUAGAAUUCGGUAGGGGAGACUGGAAUUCCUGGUGUAGCGGUGAAAUGCGUAGAUAUCGAGAGGAACACCUGCGGCGAAGGCGGGUAGCUGGGCCGACACUGACGCUGAGGCGCGAAAGCCAGGGGAGCGAACGGG
RNAcentral lists this ribosomal RNA (253 nucleotides) under uncultured bacterium. RNAcentral describes it as "partial 16S ribosomal RNA". It matches the Rfam family "Bacterial small subunit ribosomal RNA", at positions 524 to 776 of the family's 1533-position model. The record is from RNAcentral.